Long non-coding RNA from Triticum dicoccoides, 1191 nucleotides. RefSeq lists it as uncharacterized. The transcript has 4 exons. The record is from RefSeq and is a predicted model, not a curated record. Lineage: Eukaryota; Viridiplantae; Streptophyta; Magnoliopsida; Poales; Poaceae.
CCUACCCGUCCACCACUCUGGAACUUUCCCCUCUCUCGCUCAUCUCGCUCUCUCUGCCCUGCACUAGUAGCGAACCCUAGCGCUCUCCCCUCCCCUCCCCUUGCCGCCACCCCCACGCACCCGUCCCCCGCCGCCACCCACCCGUCCCCUCGCCGCCACCCACCAGUCCCGUCGCCGCCACCCACCUCGGCCACACCUCCCCUCCCGACCUCAGAUCCAACUUCCCACCACCACGUCGGCGCCCAAUCCCGGCGACCUAAGGCGGGAUUCUACGGUGCCCAGCACACCUACACCCGUCAACGGCCAUGGAGGCGGUGGCUCUCUCCGCCAGCGACGUGCCGACCAUGAACGCGGUCCUCGCCAACUCGUUCAGCGCCGACGAGGCGACGCCGCACCCCGCGGAGUAGGCCCUCUCCUCUGUUACCGUCCCGUCCUUCUCCUUCACGCAUCUUCCCUCUCUCUCAUGUACAUAUACAACAGCCCCGCCAUGGAUGGCCUCUUCAGGAGCUCAUGCCGCCGCUACAGUUCGUCCGUGUCGCCGCCCCGCGGACCACCCCCGCGCCUCUGUCGCCCCACCAUCUAAGCCACGACACCCGCUCGUCCUCUACUUCGAGCGACGGGACAUGCGCCGCCCCUCAUUGACCUCCAGCGAGCUCCAAGUCCCACGAUCCACGACAUCCAGCCAGCCACGUUCCACUCGUCGCCGGCCUGCCCCGCAAUUAGCAGGCCCUCAUCGUCAUCCUAAUGGCCGGGUCGCCUGUUGAAGGAGUUCAUUCUGGGCAGCCGGAGGCGUACGAGUUCAAGAUCGGCGACAAGUUUUUUUGAAGGUCCGGAGACCCACCCCUGGACCAAGUUAUCGAGAUGCUACAGAAGCACAAGGAUAAGUCUCAAGAUGAAAUCUAGCUAGCUGGCUACAAGCUGGUCGAAUCCUCGAUGUCCUAUGUUGCCGGCAACCCCAAAAUGUCUGACACUGAAUUCGACAAGCUCAAGCUCAUACUCAAGACCAGUAUGAAACAAGAUUUGCGAUUUGGAAGCUGGGAAGUUGGGGAAUGCGAAGUUUGAAGAGACCUGGAGUAUCUAGACUGAUUGCCAUGUGUAUAUGUGUUAUAUGAUGAUGUAACACACUGAUUCUGCUAUUGUAUGAUGUAUCAAACUGAUUUUGGCUAUUAUCUUUGUCUGUUCCCAUUUGAA